AUUUAAAGAGUGCGUAAUAGCUCACUGGUCGAGUGACUCUGCGCCGAAAAUGUACCGGGGCUAAACGUAUCACCGAAGCUGUGGAUUGACAUCUUUGAUGUCAGUGGUAGGAGAGCGUUCUAAGUGCUGUGAAGUCAGACCGUAAGGACUGGUGGAGCGCUUAGAAGUGAGAAUGCCGGUAUGAGUGGCGUAAGACAAGUGAGAAUCUUGUCCACCGAAUGCC
Molecule: ribosomal RNA, 223 nt
Filed under: Priestia megaterium
Lineage: Bacteria; Bacillati; Bacillota; Bacilli; Caryophanales; Bacillaceae
Description: partial 23S ribosomal RNA
Rfam family: Bacterial large subunit ribosomal RNA
Source: RNAcentral